This is a long non-coding RNA of Hypomesus transpacificus, 1326 nucleotides long. RefSeq lists it as uncharacterized. Lineage: Eukaryota; Metazoa; Chordata; Actinopteri; Osmeriformes; Osmeridae. The transcript has 2 exons. The record is from RefSeq and is a predicted model, not a curated record.
UGGUGACGGACCCGUCCACCCAGUCUGUGCCCCCUUCGUCGCAGGAUGUGUCCGGCCAGCAGCAACAGAUGCAGGUGGAGAGCGUUGGCGACCAUGUUCCCACCUACUCCUACCAGUCCAAAUAGCGGCGUGCGGGGAGAAUCUUCCUGUGACAGUGUUGCCUUGAGAGAGGUGGCUGCACUGAGAAUGUGGAGAGAGAGAGAGAGAGAACAGAGAGAGAGAAGAAAAGAGAAGAGAGAAGAGAGUGAGAUUGCUUCCAGAUUGCCCAGGCACCAAAAAAGAGACUCUUUUUUCAUUUCCUACCUGGCCUGAGAGAAAACGAAUGAGGGAGGAUGGGAGGGGGGGGGGAGUGGAGGGAGGGGGUGGGAGGGGGGGGAGGGGGGUAGAGAGGGAGGGAGGGGGGGGAGGGAGUGUUGGCUGGGCGCAGUGCAAAGAAGUAAAAAUGUUGUUUUGUCUGGUAAACUGCCUGGUGGGGAAGGCCGAGGCUUGAAUUGUGUCUCCAGAAAUUUCUCAAAAGAAAAAAUAUAUAAGAACAAAAAAAUAAAAAAUGUAAAAAGGAAACAAAACUUACACAAAAAAAACAUGUUGAAUGAGCAGGUAGACAGUGUUUAUUUUGUAAUUAGAACGGGAGUCAAGUUUGAGAUACGCAGAGAUUGUCUUCCUCAGAUAUUAAGCUACCAUUUCUUUUCACCUUUUUAUGUUCUCGUGUUGAAAAUUUUAGUUUUCUAGAUAUAUUCAAAAAACAAACAAGUGUUUUUCUUUUCUUGAAUCUUCAUGGCCUUAAUUUCAGCGUCAGAUACUUUUUACAAAAAGUUGAAUCUGUCGUCUCGUUGAUAUAAAGCUGACUAACCAGUAUCCUGGACCAUCUCUAUGGUCCAAGACAUUGUAGGAGUCGAGCUACAGAGAGAUAAGGAACUAUCACAUAAGCUGUACAGGUUUAAUAGAGAAGAGCUUGUUCUUUCUUUUCUUCGUUAGAAGAAAACUUUGAUAAUAAUUAUGUCAGAGGUAACUGAGUGUAAGAAGAAAACUAGUUGUUUGGCAGUAAAGAGUCUUGAGGGGGAGGGAAAAGAUGAAGCUUUGAAGAGAUUUUUCAUAACGAGAAAAAAAUACGUACUGCAUUGUAGAAGAUGCAGUCUGUUGCAAAUGCUGAAUUUGUUUUUUUUUAUUAUCAUAAUUAUUAUUUUACAUGGCGAAAUUGCUGUUGAUGACAUUAGUGCUUUUUAUCUGCAACAUUUUACCUUUUUUAUGAGCUUUAAUGAUGUUUUUAGCCCGCUUUGCUUGUCACACUGCAAAAAAAAAAAAAAAAAAAGGACAAAAAUAAUAAAA